UCUGUGUUAUUACUUACAAUUUCCAACAUAAACUAUGCUCUACUUAUAUUUAUGCAUCUUAUAUUCUCAGUUUCUUUUCCUUUUUAGCAUCUCCAUCUCCAUGUCCGUAAGUUCUAUUGCUAGAAAGGGAAUCUAAUUGUAUCUUGGGCAAGAGUUGGAAAAUAAAUUGUCCUUCAUGUAUUAAAUAUGUGUACGCGUACGAUAUUGACCUCUGACCUUUACAACACUCGCGACAUCUCCAUCUUAUCAUCAUUAUGAGUCAGGUGACACGGGAAAUUCAAUUUUAACCCUCCAAGCACGAUACGAAACUAUGAACCAGGUCAUGGCUGAUUUCAACAUGUGCUCCAUUACUUGAUGCAUCUAAAUAUGCCUCGGAGGAGUCAUUGUAAUAAUUGGAUGGUUGGAUUCUGAUGUAUUGGAUUCUUUGUUACACACUUGACAAAUAGGUUUUUGGCAAUAUUUUACUUAAUUCCAAUUGAAUUUUGUUAGGUGAGAUGGACAUGUCUAAAAUCCUCUUUAGUAAUGGUAGUUUGGUUACCACCGUGCUAGUGUGAAUCUCUUCCUUUUCAAUUGUGCUGCUGAUUUUGCUUGGAAAUGACCUUGAGGUGCCCCCUCUGUUUCAGUUUUACCAUUCAGGUGGUUGGUAUUAGUUUUGCCAUUUCGUCAAUGUAAAUAUUUGCAGGUAUCAGUUAACAUAUUUCUUUAGAUUGCAUGCAUGACAUAGGAAAUAACACAGGACAAUAUUCACAAUAUAAUUACCGUUUACAAAUCAACGGGCAUGACGGAUCAUGCCUAGCGCGUAGCAAUGACCCGAGUCCUUAUAAACAAGGACUACAAGAGUCGUCUGUGUUACCUGGAUAGUCUUUAACUAUGUGUGUCCUUUUUGCAAGAAUUUCAUUAUUUUCUGUUGCCCUUUACAGUCCUACCAGCAUUGGCGGUGCUGGAAUUGCUUGCCUGCCAUUGGGACCUUCUCUUUUCAUUCAUUCAACAUCCAAAAGCUGUUAUCACUCUUCAAAGGGAUAUUUGGGUAAAGUCAGUUGGAGGUGAUGUUGGCGCCUUGGCGGUGCAGUGGUUGCAGCUUUCGACAGGUGGUAUGAAUUACUCUCUCUUCACACCCAUGGCAUCUCUCUCUACCACAUGUAUCUAUCUUCAACCAGAGAGAGAGAGAGGAAUGAUUGUUGACUACCAGCAGCGCAGAUCAUGACUGCCACCUUCCGCUAGCACCAACCAGCACUUCCGGUGCUUCCUUUUGCCGGCCAAGUGCGCUCAGUGGAGAUAUACUGAAAAUGAGAGACAGAGCCCUGUUCCUCGGCGAUGAAAGGUUAAAUGCUACAUUAAACAGUUGUUAUCUGGACUUGAGCACUGCCACUUGCGAGGUGAAUGCAUCAAGACAUUAAAGAUGCAAAUUUUCUGGUAAAUAAUGAAGGAGUUUUGAAGAUAGCUGAUUUUGGACUAAAUUCCAGCCCGUCUGCGAAUAUGCAACCCCUAACCAGUAGAGUUGUCACUUUGUGGUACCGACCUCUUGAACUUUUGUGGGGGCUCCACGGUGUAAGCUGUGUAUUGCUGAACUUCUUGUUGAUAAACCCAUCCUUAAGGGGGAAGAACUGAGGCCGAACAUCCCCUGCAGUGCUUCAGUCGAUAAGAUCUCUCGCUACAGAUAGUCAGGGCUCCUUAUGGAGACGCUUGGGUUGAAGUCAACGGGCAACAAUAUUCUCCGAGCCAAAUUGGAGCAUUCAUUCUGACCAAGAUGAAAGAGAUUGCAGAAUCAUAUUUAGGAAAGAUAGUCACAAAAGCUGUUAUCACUGCAGCAGCUUAUUUCAAUGAUGCCCAGAGACGAGCAACAGAGGAUGUUGGGUGAAUUCCUGGCCUUGAUGUGCAGAGAAUCAUUAAUGAGCCUACUACUGCUGCACUUUCAUAUGGUUUGAACAAGGAGGGUCUUGUAGCGGUUUUUGAUCUCGGUGGUUGAACCUUUGAUGUUAAAUAUCUGAUAGUGUUUUUGAGGUUGUGUCUGGAGGAGGAAUUCUCAACCAUACUAGCUGUAAUUUGGAGGAUCUGAUUCUCGAAGGACUAGAGACGGUAAUCAAAAGUAAUCUUACCUUGCAUAUGAAGGGUCUCUAGCUGGCUAUCUAGAGCCACAUGCACAAUCCGUUCUUGUCUUCGUCUCCUUGUUUUUGCAUGUUAUGAUUCUCAUCAUCAUCAUUUGCAUUUUAUUUCAUGCAUGUGUAUUGGUGAGAUUGCUGUGGUGCCUGGUUCUCUUCAAGCAGGAUAAUUGGAACUAAUUAAGGUGCAUUGGUGCGGGUGGUAACUACAACUGCUGCUUGCGGCUUGGUUUUUGGAAUUGAUAAGGUCAAUUUUCGUCAAUUUAUCUCUUUGUUUUCUCAUCUAGUUAGUAAUAUCCUUGUCCUCCCAUGAAUGGAGAAGCUUGUGUGGUUAUAUCUUAGUUGCAGGAAUUGCCUACUUGGUAGGCUCUCCUGGGCGAGAAACGCGAUACCGUGUUUUUUAGUAAGAAACACGUUGGGAGCGCGUUCCCAUUGAGAUGGGAUUGCGCUCCUACGAGAGAGAGAGAGAGAGAGAGAGAGAGAGAGAGAGAGAGAUAUCUGAAUUGGUGGCUGCGUGAAAGAAGAAGAGAGAGAGAGAUAUCUGAAUUGGUGGCUGCGUGAAAGAAGAAGGGUUCUCGUUUUGGACUUAAUAGGUUUUUUUUUUUUUUUUUUUAUUCUUUUGGGCUGCCAAGUUGGGUUUGUAUUGUAUGAUGUAAUGAGCCAUUUUAUUCUUACAGUCCAAGUUGGGUUUCUAUGAUAUAAUGGGCAUGUUCAUUCUUUUUGGCUACUAAAUGGGCUUAUACAUUAGGGCUAUAAAGAUUGAAGUGGAUUUCACAAUUCUUUGCAGGCUUCAAAAAUAAUCCAUAUGGGCUUUUAUUAUCCAUAAAAUAACAAAACAAAAGAAUCAAUGUGCUUUUAAUACAUAAACUAUCUAAUCCUAACCUAUUAAAUUUUAAAAAGGUAUUAAAAAUAUUACAAAAAUUAUCAUUUUUUUAAUGUUAUAUAAAAAAUGACAUAAAAUAUAUAUUUUCUGUAUGAUAUAAAUGAAAAAUAUGGUAUUAUGUAAUAUUAUUAAAGCAUCCAACUUCAAACUAAUUGGCAUAGAGGGGAGAGGCGAUCCAGGCUUAUAUAUUAGUUUUGGAGGAGAUAAUUAACCGAUGUGGGAUAAAUCUCAACACUCUCCCGCAUGUGCGAUCCCGACUCGCACGUGGAGAGGUAAACAAAGAAUCCGAAACACAUGGAUUACAACGAAAGAAAGUGCAACUAUGGCAGAAAUAAAGGGGAAAAGUCUCUUGAAAU
Molecule: long non-coding RNA, 3338 nt
Organism: Rhododendron vialii
Lineage: Eukaryota; Viridiplantae; Streptophyta; Magnoliopsida; Ericales; Ericaceae
Exons: 7
Source: RefSeq, a predicted model, not a curated record